Molecule: ribosomal RNA, 503 nt
Filed under: uncultured bacterium
Lineage: Bacteria
Description: bacterial SSU rRNA
Rfam family: Bacterial small subunit ribosomal RNA
Source: RNAcentral
AGUGAACGCUGGCGGCAGGCCUAAUACAUGCAAGUCGAACGGCAGCACAGCAGAGCUUGCUCUGUGGGUGGCGAGUGGCGGACGGGUGAGGAAUACAUGGGAAUCUGCCCAGUCGUGGGGGACAACGUAGGGAAACUUACGCUAAUACCGCAUGCGCCCUUCGGGGGAAAGCCGGGGACCUUCGGGCCUGGCGCGAUUGGAUGAGCCCAUGUCGGAUUAGCUAGUUGGCGGGGUAAUGGCCCACCAAGGCGACGAUCCGUAGCUGGUCUGAGAGGAUGAUCAGCCACACUGGAACUGAGACACGGUCCAGACUCCUACGGGAGGCAGCAGUAGGGAAUAUUGGGACAAUGGGCGCAAGCCUGAUCCAGCCAUGCCGCGUGAGUGAAGAAGGCCCUCGGGUUGUAAAGCUCUUUGUCCGGAAAGAAAAGCGCCGGUUAAUACCCUAGUGUCCUGACGGUACCGGAAGAAUAAGCACCGGCUAACUUCGUGCCAGCAGCCGCGGU